Molecule: RNA transcript, 4504 nt
Organism: Phycodurus eques (leafy seadragon)
Lineage: Eukaryota; Metazoa; Chordata; Actinopteri; Syngnathiformes; Syngnathidae
Gene name: F-actin-uncapping protein LRRC16A-like
Exons: 35
Source: RefSeq, a predicted model, not a curated record
GUUUGGGUGGGUCCGGGCUGUCGUGGGAAGGCUGGCUGGCAGCAGAAGAAGAAGUUGAAGGAGCAGGAGAAGGUGGUCUGGAAAAGUGGACAAGUCUUUCCGUGAGGAGUGAAGAAGGAAAGAAAUGGAGGCCCCAGAACUCCCAAAGGAAUUGUUUGAGAGCGUGCAGGAGGCAGUGGGGCGGCGCCUCAAGUUGACGCUGAGGUGCCAGGUCCAGCCGGAGGUCAAAAGCGCAAAGGUGGAGAACAAAGUGCUGGCCUUGGCAUCAGAUCGAGCCUUCUUGUUGUCAGCGCGCAUCCCUUCCAAGGUUGAGCACUCCUUCAGCUACCUGGACAUCCAGCAUCUCCACAGCAACAAGCUCACUCAGGUGCUGUUGGAGUGCCAGCGUGGGCCACGGACACUGUGGUUUAGUUCCCAGAAGGACAGCGACCAGGUCAUCACCCACGUAGGUUGCCGUCUCGUGCGGAUCUGCCCGGACAUGAGUCUGCUGAAGAAGUUUCACGUGACGCCCCCCGAGCGAUCGGACGCCCUCCGGGCGGUCUGGGAGCAGCAGGGUUCUCUGGACCAGGGGCCUUGCGGAGGAUUCUCCGAUCAGUACCGGGCCGUCUGCGACAAUCUAAACCUGGCCUACAGGGAGGAGGUCCAGUGGGACGUGGACACCAUCUACCUGAGUCAGGACACCACAGAACUCAACCUGCAAGACUUCAGUCACCUGGACAGCAGGGAUCUUGUGGCCAUUGUUGGCACUCUGGAGUACAACAAGUGGUUCACCAAGCUGGUCGCUAGAGACUGCAAACUGUCUACAGACGUGUGCGAGCAGAUUCUGCACGUGAUGUCCCGAUCCAAUCGUUUGGAGGAGCUGGUCCUGGACAAAGCCGGCCUCAGAAGUGAUUUUGCCCACAAACUGUCCUUGGCACUGUGUCAUAACCCCGCUUCCACGCUGCGCAGCCUCAACCUGAGCAACAACUCGCUAGACGACAAAGGUGUAUGCGCUCUGAGCGCUCAGCUGGGCAAACUUGCGAAGGGUCUGAAGCAACUGAACCUCAGCAGGACCUCGUUGUCCCCCAAAGGCGCGAACUUCCUGUGUCAGGCGCUGUGCGCGAAUCCCGGCAUGGCCGCCACCCUCACACACCUCCAGUUGUCCGGAAACUCACUCAGAGGAGACGAGCUGCGGAACUUACACAACUUCCUGAGUCAUGACAACUGCUUAGAAGUUCUGGAUUUGUCCUGCACUGACUGCUCACUGGAGCAGACAUCAGCGUCUCUUCUCGAAGGAUGUUUAAAGCGUCUCCGCGUCCUGAACAUGUCAAAGACGCCCUUUUCGCACAGACGUCGUCCGUCUGGGCGGACGAGGCCGACGUCACGGAGUUGUUGUUCGUGCGUGUCCUGUGUGUGUGAACAUACACGUGUACAUACGUGUGGCGUGUGUUGCCGUGUCGUCAGGAAGAGCAGGGAGGUUCCUGCGUCCUUCGAGCAGUUCUUCAGCCUGUCCCGGGCUCUGAGCUCCGUCAACGUGUCCGGAUGCAGACUUCCCGCCGAGGCGCUCAAGGCACUGCUGCUGGGACUGGGCUGCAACCCCAAUCUGAGCGACGUGUCUCUGGACCUGAGCGGCUGUGAGCUGCGCUCGGCGGGCUCUCAGAUCCUGGAGGGCUGCAUCGCAGAGAUCCCCAACAUCUCCAGUUUGGACAUCUCCGACAACGGUCUGGACGGGGACCUGAGCACCCUGCUGGUAUGGCUGGCCAAGAACCGCUCGUUUCGCCACCUUUCAUUGGGCAGAAACUUCCAGAAUAUCAAGUCCAAGAACGUGGCUCCGGUCCUGGACGACCUGGUCCGUAUGAUUCAAGAGGAGGAGUCACCGCUGACCUCGCUGUCGCUGGCUGACUCCAAGCUGAAGGGUGACCUGGCCAUCGUCCUCAACGCCCUGGGAAGCAAUACCUCGCUCACAAAGCUGGACAUCAGAGGGAACGCCAUGGGCGACAUGGGCGCCAAAAUGCUGGCCAAGGCCCUGCAGAUCAACACCAAGCUCAGGACGCUUUUCUGGGACAGGAACAAUGUCAGCCCCCAGGGUCUAGAGGAAGUGGCGUCCGCGUUGGAGAAGAAUUUCACCAUGCGCUUCAUGCCAGUUCCCAUCAUGGACGCCGCCCAGGCACUCAAGACCAACUCGGAAAAGACAGAAGACGCGCUCCUGAAGAUGGAGCACUUCCUGCUGAGGAACCACGAGACUCGGAAGUACCUCCAGGAGCAGGCGUACCGGCUGCAGCAGGGCAUCGUCACCAGCACCACGCAGCAGCUGAUGGACACCAUGUGUGUGAAGGUUCAGGAUCACCUGAACUCGCUCAUGUACUCCCAGAACUACACAGUCCAGGAUGAUAUGAAGAUGGCAGAAAACCUGAUGACAGACGCGAGGAACUCCAAGACUCUGCUCCCCAACCUCUACCACCUGGGGGGCGACGGUCUACGUGUGGCCAUUCAGGACAAACUGGAGUCCGUGGCCGGGGAGGUCGCGGCUGUGAUGGAUGAGCAGCUGGAGACAAUGCUUGCGUCCAUGUUGGAAGCGGCGUCUGGUUUAUGUCCUCAUGUGAUGAAGAUGAGCGGCCUUGUGCCAGAUCUGCUGCGGGCGGGCGCGGUGAAGAUGAGCGUCCCUCGCAGUUUCAUCACCAAGACGCUCCUGGAGCAGACGGGCGUGGACAUCCUCAACAAGAUCAGUGAGCUGAAACUCAGCGUGGCGUCCUUGAUCUCCGAUCGUAUCGUGGACCAGAUCCUGGACUCUUUGUCCACGUGGCGCCACACGCUGGCCGACCACGUGACCAGGCAGGGCCAACCUGCGCUACGUCCGGAAUCUCAGACGGAAACAGAAGUUCUGGACGAGACGGUCAUUCAUCCGGGGGAUCGUGAUGGGGAAAGCCGAGUGGAUGCUUCUGUGAUGACGGCCAAGUCCAAGCGGAAGAGCAUUCUGGUGCGGAUGCUGCGACCAGUCUCGGUGGCUUUUGAGAUGGAGUUUGACCUGGACAAAGCUCUUCAGGAGGUGCCAGUCCAUGAGGUGGACCCGCCGCCCUCAUGCCUGCCGGACCUUGUGCAGCCAGCUUUCCCGCCUCUGGUGUCACCGCCUCCCCUGCGGCAUUACACUAAAGUGCGGCCCAAAGCCAGGAGACGGAACAAACCCAGCAGAGUCACACGUGAGGCACCGGUGGGGUUGGAGCAUCAGGCCAUGAUAGGAAAGGUGGACGAGGGCAUGGAUGAGUUCUUCUCCAAGAAAGUCCUGAAAGUCAGCUUGAAACGCCCCGCCGCACAAGCAACGCCGUCAAACACGCACGAGUUGGCCGACAAGAAGCGGGACUCCAGGAGGAGCGGCUUCUUCAACCUCAUCAAAGUUCGGACAUCCCGCUCGGAGAAGAGCCAGGGGGGAACCCAAGAGUCCGCAACCGUCGGGCCACCCAGGCCCGCGUUCCCCGACCUCACGCAGUCGCCCAUAUCCCCUGCCCUCGCGCCGCCUACACCCUCUGUCGGCAAGGUCACUGAGGAGUCCCCGCCCGCAUCCCCGUCUUCGACACCCCAGCGGUCCCCGAGGUCGCCGCCCCAGAACAACGACGGUUCUGACACGAACGUGUCGGCGCCUUCCGCCGGAGCGGCUGAGGAGAAGGACAGCCCCGUGGUUCCGAGGCAUGUGGGCAUUCCCGUCAUGGGCGCCGACCUUCUGGCGGAGAUGAAGGCACGGCAGGAGAAAAUGGCCGCUCAAAAGGUGAGAAGAAAACAAGGAAAGCAACAAUUGUAGGAAGGUAAGUAAGUACGUAAGUACUGUAAGUCAGUAGGUAGAUACGUACUGUAAGUAAGUAAGAACUGGAAGUAGACAAGUACUUGAAGUAAGUAGUGAGGCAAGUGUUAUUUCUCUACUCCUAAGACAGUCAACUCAACCUGCUGCACAUGAUUAAGACGCAGAAUGACUAACAUUUCAAAAAAACUAAACAAAUAAAUAAUCAAGUCUCCCUGGUCGGCACGGUGACGACUGGUUAGAGCGUAUGCCUCACAGUUGUGAGGACCGGGGUUCAAUCCCCGGCCCCGCCUGUGUGGAGUUUGCAUGUCCUCUCCGUGCCUGCGUGGCUUUUCUCCGGGCACUCCGCUUUCCUCCCACAUCCCAAAAACAUGCAUGCCAGGUUGAUUGAAGACUCGAAAUUGCCCGUAGGUGUGAAUGUGAGUCCCAAUGGUUCUUUGUUUGUACGUGCCCUGCGAUGGGCUGGCAACCGGUUCAGGGUGUACCCCGCCUCCUGCCCGAUGACAGCUGGGAUAGGCUGCCGGCACGCCCGCGACCCGCGUGAGGAGUAGCGGCUGGCUCAGAAAAUGGAUGGAUGGAUGGAUGGAUUCUCUCUUUCAUGUUGGCGCCAUGAUUCAUGUCAAUCCACUUGGUGCAACAGCUCUCCAAGUCGGAUUCUUUGGAGAACGAUGACCACAUGGGCAACUCGACGACGGGGGCUGUCAAAGCUCGCCUGAGGAGGUCGCCGUCUGAACA